GAUGAACGCUGGCGGCGUGCCUAAUACAUGCAAGUCGAGCGAACGGACGAGAAGCUUGCGUCUCUGAUGUUAGCGGCGGACGGGUGAGUAACACGUGGAUAACCUACCUAUAAGACUGGGAUAACUUCGGGAAACCGGAGCUAAUACCGCAUCAUAUUUUGAACCGCAUGGUUCAAAAGUGAAAGACGGUCUUGCUGACACUUAUAGAUGAAUCCGCGCUGCAUUAGCUAGUUGGUAAGGUAACGGCUUACCAAGGCAACGAUGCAUAGCCGACCUGAGAGGGUGAUCGGCCACACUGGAACUGAGACACGGUCCAGACUCCUACGGGAGGCAGCAGUAGGGAAUCUUCCGCAAUGGGCGAAAGCCUGACGGAGCAACGCCGCGUGAGUGAUGAAGGUCUUCGGAUCGUAAAACUCUGUUAUUAGGGAAGAACAUAUGUGUAAGUAACUGUGCCCAUCUUGACGGUACCUAAUCAGAAAGCCACGGCUAACUACGUG
RNAcentral lists this ribosomal RNA (497 nucleotides) under uncultured bacterium. RNAcentral describes it as "partial 16S ribosomal RNA". It matches the Rfam family "Bacterial small subunit ribosomal RNA", at positions 28 to 507 of the family's 1533-position model. The record is from RNAcentral.